GCACUCAGUGGCCACUUUAUUAGGUAGGCUACGCUUGCACAUUAACAGCUAAACGUGUCUACAGCUCAGUAUGUAAAGCAUACAGACCUGGUGACGAGGUUGUUUUUUUUUAAGUUGUUUUUUUUUUUUAAGAUUAUAAUGGGCAAAAUUUGUAAAAGUGACUGUUCAUGCCAUAUGUGGUGGUUCCAGCAUCUCAGAAACAGCUGCCUGGCUGGCAUUUUCUUUAAAGUUUACAGAGAAUGGUGUGAUUAAAAAAAAAAAAAUCCAGUGAGCGGCAUUUUUUUGGGAAAACACCUUGUGAAUAAGAGAGGUCUGAGGAUAAUGAGCAGGGUUGUUCAAGCUAGCAGAAAGGCUGCAAAUUGUCAAUUUUUUACUGCAAACAGCUUUUUACAGAAGCGGUUCUCCGAAGGGCAUCUGUGUAUGCACAAUGCAAUGAACUUUGAAGCGAAUGGGCUACAGCAGUGGAAGAGUUGUCAGCUAUCAGCUAAGAAUAGGAAAAUGUUGCUACAAUGGGCACAUGAUCACCAAAGCUGGUCAUUUAAAGAUGGAAAAGUGUUGCCUGGUCUGGCAAAUCUCAAUUUAUGUUGUGACAAUCAGAAAGUAGGGUCAUAACCACAGCCGUGGAAUAUAAUGUAAUAUAAUAUAAUGCUUGAUGCAAUAUUCAAAAUGCCCUACCUUAAGUGAGCAAGAAAUGGAAAAGGUGCCACAGCACCAUCUGCUGAAUCUGUUUGGUUAAGCUGGUCUUGUAACCUGAAGGUCACAAGUUCAAUUCCCGGGUAGAUGCAAAUUGUUAGAUGGCCACAAAAACAGAAUGACUUGCCUUCGUUGAUGAUACAACUGCUGAUGGCAGCAGCAGAGUUAAUUCUGAAGUGUGCAGAAGCAUGAAUGCCUUGAUUACAAAUAUAAAAUUGUGGCAUGCAGCGCCAAAUUAACUUUUCAGUCUUUUUCCCAAACAUUAUGGAGAACACUACAUAUUAUUUGUCUUAGUGGCACAUUUUAUGUGCUUAAAGUCGACAGUGUCAUGGUUCUGUGGUUUGUCUGCGUUUCCCUUUUUGGGCCGCCAGAUGGCGGCACUUCAGUUUUUAGUUCUGUUCUUUUACCCUGUUUAAUUAUAUUGUUUUCAAUUAUUCAAUUGUUGUUUGGUUGUCUCGUUUUCCCUUCCCUCUCUGUGGCCUGAUUGUGCAUUGUGCCCUGCUGUGUCUCGUCAGUGUCUUGUCUAUUUAAGUGCUUGUCUUCCCUGACUCGGGUGCUGGAUCUUUGUGUGUGCUUCUGAUUAUGUUUCUGCCCUGCGUGUUUCCUCCUGAGAGUAGCUCCCUGUGUGUUUCUGCCCACGUUCCGUUUUUACGUGCUUUUGGAUUCUUGGAUUUUCUUUGUUUUGAGUUGCCCUGCGAUGCCUUUUGUUCCCUGCUUUAGUUCCUGUUUUGCAAGUAAAGUCCUUGUUUCCAUUU
Molecule: long non-coding RNA, 1448 nt
Organism: Anguilla anguilla (European eel)
Lineage: Eukaryota; Metazoa; Chordata; Actinopteri; Anguilliformes; Anguillidae
Exons: 2
Source: RefSeq, a predicted model, not a curated record